Molecule: long non-coding RNA, 210 nt
Filed under: Mytilus galloprovincialis (Mediterranean mussel)
Lineage: Eukaryota; Metazoa; Mollusca; Bivalvia; Mytilida; Mytilidae
Source: RNAcentral
CUUAAUGAUUGUGUCAACCUCAUCGACUCUCUUCCCAAUGUAAUAUGGUUCUUUGCUGCUCUUUAAAUGAAACCACAAACUCAAAGUUUCUUUAAGAUGCCCAAAAGGAUACCAUGCAUGUAAUAUUACGCAGUUUACCAUAAUUACUUGAACAUAGAAUGUCUAGAUCUACUUGGCAUUGAAACAACAAUUUCGUGGACUUUCAGGGGG